Molecule: small RNA, 134 nt
Filed under: Desulfosporosinus youngiae
Lineage: Bacteria; Bacillati; Bacillota; Clostridia; Eubacteriales; Desulfitobacteriaceae
Also listed under: 1 other name
Description: c-di-AMP sequence
Rfam family: c-di-AMP riboswitch aptamer (ydaO/yuaA leader)
About the family: This family represents a conserved RNA structure found upstream of the ydaO and yuaA genes in Bacillus subtilis and related genes in other bacteria. The ydaO/yuaA element is thought to act as a genetic "off" switch for the ydaO and yuaA genes in its native state. It is believed that the element may be triggered during osmotic shock leading to activation of ydaO, a predicted amino acid transporter gene, and members of the yuaA-yubG operon which code for KtrA and KtrB K+ transporters.
Source: RNAcentral
UAAUAACAACGGCUUAAUCUAGUCAACUAGAGCGGGGGAGCUUUUUAUUGGGGUGAAUCGCAUUCUAAGCGUAGGGCUUACACCUUUUUGCCCGAAUCCGUCAACUAACCUCGUAAGCUGAGAAAGGUGAUAAU